RNAcentral lists this ribosomal RNA (233 nucleotides) under uncultured bacterium. RNAcentral's name for it is "partial 16S ribosomal RNA". It matches the Rfam family "Bacterial small subunit ribosomal RNA", at positions 118 to 350 of the family's 1533-position model. The record is from RNAcentral.
UGAGUAACCUGCCCUUCACUCUGGGAUAACUCCGGGAAACCGGGGCUAAUACUGGAUACGACCUACUCGGGCAUCCGAUGUGGGUGGAAAGAUUUAUCGGUGAGGGAUGGACUCGCGGCCUAUCAGCUUGUUGGUGAGGUAAUGGCUCACCAAGGCGACGACGGGUAGCCGGCCUGAGAGGGCGAUCGGCCACACUGGGACUGAGACACGGCCCAGACUCCGUACGGGGGGCA